This 465-nucleotide ribosomal RNA is filed under the name uncultured bacterium. RNAcentral describes it as "partial 16S ribosomal RNA". It matches the Rfam family "Bacterial small subunit ribosomal RNA", at positions 28 to 507 of the family's 1533-position model. The record is from RNAcentral.
GACGAACGCUGGCGGCGUGCUUAACACAUGCAAGUCGAACGGAAAGGCCCCCUUUUGGGGUACUCGAGUGGCGAACGGGUGAGUAACACGUGAGUAACCUACCCUUUACUUUGGGAUAACUUCAGGAAACUGGGGCUAAUACCGGAUAGGAGCUCCUGCUGCAUGGUGGGGGUUGGAAAGUUUCGGCGGUUGGGGAUGGACUCGCGGCUUAUCAGCUUGUUGGUGGGGUAGUGGCUCACCAAGGCUUUGACGGGUAGCCGGCCUGAGAGGGUGACCGGCCACAUUGGGACUGAGAUACGGCCCAGACUCCUACGGGAGGCAGCAGUGGGGAAUAUUGCACAAUGGGCGGAAGCCUGAGGCAGCAACGCCGCGUGCGGGAUGACGGCCUUCGGGUUGUAAACCGCUUUCGCCUGUGACGAAGCGUGAGUGACGGUAAUGGGUAAAGAAGCACCGGCUAACUACGUG